Molecule: ribosomal RNA, 272 nt
Filed under: uncultured prokaryote
Description: partial 16S ribosomal RNA
Rfam family: Bacterial small subunit ribosomal RNA
Source: RNAcentral
UACGGAGGAUUCAAGCGUUAUCCGGAUUUAUUGGGUUUAAAAGGGUGCGCAGGCGGAAGAUUAAGUCGGCGGUGAAAUUUUGCAGCUCAACUGUAAAAGUGCCUUCGAAACUGGUUUCCUUGAGUGUGGAUGAAGUAGGCGGAAUUUGUGGUGUAGCGGUGAAAUGCAUAGAUAUCACGAGGAACUCCGAUUGCGCAGGCAGCUUACUAAACCAUAACUGACGCUCAGGCACGAAGGCGUGGGGAUCAAACAGGAUUAGAUACCCGGGUAGU